AGAGUUUGAUCCUGGCUCAGGUUACUGCUAUCGAGGUUCGACUAAGCCAUGCGAGUCGAAUGUAGCAAUACAUGGCGUACUGCUCAGUAACACGUGGACAACCUACCCUCAGGUCGGGGAUAAACCCGGGAAACUGGGUAUAAUACCCGAUAGAUCUCGGCUGCUGGAAUGCAUCGAGAUCUAAAGCUCCGGCGCCUGAGGAUGGGUCUGCGGCCUAUCAGGUAGUAGUGGGUGUAGCGUACCUACUAGCCUACGACGGGUACGGGUUGUGAGAGCAAGAGCCCGGAGAUGGAUUCUGAGACACGAAUCCAGGCCCUACGGGGUGCAGCAGGCGCGAAAACUUUACAAUGCCGGCAACGGCGAUAAGGGGACCUCGAGUGCCAGGUUACAAAUCUGGCUGUCGUGAUGCCUAAAAAGCAUUGCAUAGCAAGGGCCGGGCAAGACCGGUGCCAGCCGCCGCGGUAACACCGGCGGCUCGAGUGGUAACCGUUAUUAUUGGGUCUAAAGGGUCUGUAGCCGGCCGGAUAAGUCUCUUGGGAAAUCCAGCAGCUCAACUGUUGGGCUUUCAGGAGAUACUGUCUGGCUCGAGGCCGGGAGAGGUGAGAGGUACUUCAGGGGUAGGGGUGAAAUCUUGUAAUCCUUGAAGGACCACCAGUGGCGAAGGCGUCUCACCAGAACGGACCUGACGGCAAGGGACGAAAGCUAGGGGCACGAACCGGAUUAGAUACCCGGGUAGUCCUAGCCGUAAACGAUACUCGCUAGGUGUCGGCCACGGUGCGACCGUUGUCGGUGCCGUAGGGAAGCCGUGAAGCGAGCCACCUGGGAAGUACGGCCGCAAGGCUGAAACUCAAAUGAAUUGACGG
Molecule: ribosomal RNA, 863 nt
Filed under: uncultured archaeon
Lineage: Archaea
Description: bacterial SSU rRNA
Rfam family: Archaeal small subunit ribosomal RNA
Source: RNAcentral